RNAcentral lists this transfer RNA (76 nucleotides) under Gammaproteobacteria bacterium. Its description in RNAcentral is "tRNA-Thr". It matches the Rfam family "tRNA". Rfam says of the family: Transfer RNA (tRNA) molecules are approximately 80 nucleotides in length. RNAcentral also lists the same sequence under 3 other names. Lineage: Bacteria; Pseudomonadati; Pseudomonadota; Gammaproteobacteria. The record is from RNAcentral.
GCCGGCAUAGCUCAGAUGGUAGAGCAGCGCACUUGUAAUGCGAAGGUCCCGAGUUCGAUUCUUGGUGCCGGCACCA